GCGCCCGUAGCUCAGAUGGAUAGAGCAACAGCCUUCUAAGCUGUGGGUCGGUGGUUCGAGUCCACCCGGGCGCA
Molecule: transfer RNA, 74 nt
Filed under: Gemmatimonadota bacterium
Lineage: Bacteria; Pseudomonadati; Gemmatimonadota
Description: Gemmatimonadetes bacterium (bioreactor metagenome) tRNA-Arg
Rfam family: tRNA
About the family: Transfer RNA (tRNA) molecules are approximately 80 nucleotides in length. Their secondary structure includes four short double-helical elements and three loops (D, anti-codon, and T loops). Further hydrogen bonds mediate the characteristic L-shaped molecular structure. tRNAs have two regions of fundamental functional importance: the anti-codon, which is responsible for specific mRNA codon recognition, and the 3' end, to which the tRNAs corresponding amino acid is attached (by aminoacyl-tRNA synthetases). tRNAs cope with the degeneracy of the genetic code in two manners: having more than one tRNA (with a specific anti-codon) for a particular amino acid; and 'wobble' base-pairing, i.e. permitting non-standard base-pairing at the 3rd anti-codon position.
Source: RNAcentral